UCCUGGGUAGUUUAUUUAGAACAUGACGUUGAAGCCGUCAGGGUGGAGGGAAGCGACUCCUCCGGGUA
This 68-nucleotide transfer RNA is filed under the name Spondylus violaceus. Its description in RNAcentral is "tRNA-Phe". Lineage: Eukaryota; Metazoa; Mollusca; Bivalvia; Pectinida; Spondylidae. The record is from RNAcentral.